RNAcentral lists this ribosomal RNA (294 nucleotides) under uncultured bacterium. Its description in RNAcentral is "partial 16S ribosomal RNA". It matches the Rfam family "Bacterial small subunit ribosomal RNA", at positions 775 to 1067 of the family's 1533-position model. The record is from RNAcentral.
GGAUUAGAUACCCUGGUAGUCCACGCUGUAAACGAUGGAUGCUAGCCGUCAGCAAGCAUGCUUGUUGGUGGCGCAGCUAACGCAUUAAGCAUCCCGCCUGGGGAGUACGGCCGCAAGGUUAAAACUCAAAGGAAUUGACGGGGGCCCGCACAAGCGGUGGAGCAUGUGGUUUAAUUCGACGCAACGCGAAGAACCUUACCAGCCCUUGACAUGCCCGGACGGUUUCCAGAGAUGGAUUCCUCCUAGCAAUAGGUCGGGACACAGGUGCUGCAUGGCUGUCGUCAGCUCGUGCCG